UGGUCAAGCUACAAAGGGCGCAUGGUGAAUGCCUUGGCACCAGAAGCCGAUGAAGGACGCGAUAAGCUGCGAUAAGCUUCGGGUAGGCGCAAAUAGCCUGAGAUCCGAAGAUUUCCGAAUGGGGCAACCC
This 130-nucleotide ribosomal RNA is filed under the name uncultured bacterium. RNAcentral's name for it is "partial 23S ribosomal RNA". It matches the Rfam family "Bacterial large subunit ribosomal RNA", at positions 1 to 129 of the family's 2925-position model. The record is from RNAcentral.